UUUCCGUAGGUGAACCUGCGGAAGGAUCAUUAUUGUAUAACCGAGGUGCGAGGGCUGUCGCUGACCCGAAAGGUCGUGCACGCCCGAGUGCCCUCACACACAUCCAUCUCACCCCUAUGUGCACCACCGCGUGGGUCCCCCUUUGGCUUGUUCGGAGGGGGGCUUACGUUUUCACACAAACUUUGUAUGCAGUGUAGAAUGUAUUUUUUGUUUUUGCGAUCACGCAAUCAAUACAACUUUCAACAACGGAUCUCUAGGCUCUCACAUCGAUGAAGAACGCAG
Molecule: unclassified non-coding RNA, 282 nt
Filed under: plant metagenome
Description: partial contains small subunit ribosomal RNA, internal transcribed spacer 1, and 5.8S ribosomal RNA
Rfam family: 5.8S ribosomal RNA (bases 235-282)
Source: RNAcentral